This is a long non-coding RNA of Pseudoliparis swirei, 2499 nucleotides long. RefSeq lists it as uncharacterized. NCBI's taxonomy places the organism in Eukaryota, Metazoa, Chordata, Actinopteri, Perciformes, Liparidae. The transcript is spliced from 2 exons. The record is from RefSeq and is a predicted model, not a curated record.
UGUACUUGUCUUGCCAGUAGAGUUUCUCGUCUUCAUAUUGUUAAGUUGUAAUAGUUUAUUUUGAUAACAUCUGCAGAGGUCUUAUGUUUUAAAUUAAUACAUAUAGAAAGAUAUUAUAAGAGAAAAUAUUAAGGAGAAUAUUGAUAUUGUUAUUAAUGUAUUAUGACGCAUAGGGGUAAUGUUUACUCUAUGCAAAUGUAAAUGGCAAGAAUUAAUGUAUAUUGCAUGAGAGUGACUGUAUGUUAGUAUUAUAGAUUGAAGAAGCCGGUUGAAAUCCGUGAAGUGACUUUUAUUGUGAAGGUGACUUUAACAAGACAGGAUUCUUAUUGUGAAAGCGUUGGAACCGGAAGUGACGUUUCGAGCCGGCGCAAGAGGAUUAUGAAACAGCGUGUUUUUAGAGAGCUCGUUCUCUUUCUCAGGUAAGCCCCGAAGGGAAGGUUGUGCUCUCGGAAGGAGCCGAGAGCUGUCAGCCUGGACACGAGGGAGAGCGCGUUGAAUGUUUGAUUCACUUUUCUUGCCAUUAAAUGUUGAUAACUUAAUCCAUGCGUGUCCGGAAGCCUGUUUCUCCACCAUCUGCGUAGUGCCCCAGUUUUGAUGAAUACUUUACAAUUUGGAAACCACGGAAGGCGAAACUGAGAUGGGCCGCCAGAGUUACAGGACUAAGGACGCGUUCCUGCGGUUACCGGAGCCCACCAGGAGCCAGUGGACUAAGUCCAGGCGAAUGGGGUGCUCUGAAGUCAUUGCAAGGACCUCAGAGCGCCCUCGAUCUGUUUUAGGGGUUCAAGCACGAGAGAGGAGGGUGCUGGACGAAUACCUGCCUGCUAUCAGAUCCUAGUAGGAUUUGAAUAUUUCUAUGCCCUAGUCAAGGGCCAUAGAUAGGAUCAAUUACAUUUAUCAUAACCGGUAAAGAUAAAUAAAGUUAGAUUGGAUUGGAUAAGUAAUUGAGACUCUGUUGGACGGGGUGAGAAGCUGCUCCUCCGACUCAGUUGAAGAUUGCGAAUUCAAGCCUAGAAAGUAUUAGAUACUUAUUAGAUAUAGAAAUUAAAAUAUAGACAAUUUUUCAUAGUCAAGUGUCACAUUCUGUAUAGAGCCGCCCUAGUGGCCGCUGUGUUGUGUUGUGUUCUCAUUUUCUCCAACAGCUACACCUGACGCUCCAGCAUCGAUCUCCAUCGUGUGCUGACUGCCUGCUGUGAGGACCUGCCAUGAGGAGCUGCCCACAGGAGCAUCGGACACCAUCAUCACCCGGCUCAGAGAGACUGAGGAGCAGACGGAGCCAUCCUGAGGACCCCUGCGAUGCCAUUCGGAGCAGAGGAGAGAACGAUGCAGAGGAAGAGGAACAGAUGACAUCAUGUGGAUAUGUAAAUCCACCGACGGACGGCGCAGCCAGUGAAAACCAUGAGGAAUAAUAUCUCCCCAGGGGCUGGGACGCCCGGGAGGCAUGAGACAGGUUCCAGAGAGACAUCGACCUUUUGGAUGACGGCAGAGAACCACUGCAUGCAGGUAGCUGCAUGUAAGCCGAGAUCCUUGAGAAGUCCUCAGCUGAGAUUUAGUGAGUGUGAAUUGCUGGUAGACAGUUAACUGCUUGCAGUCUGUGGACGCAGUAGUUCAUGCUCCCUCAGCUGAGUGGGACAAUCGCAACCAUCAUUGACAAUCUGCUUGGAGGAAUACUGGAGUUGCAGAGCAUGUAUGCGGAGGGACUGGAUUCACAGGGAUGCACAGACACCUGCACAGAUAGACACUUAGUGCACGUUACAUCAACCGGAGCCAUCAGGACAGCAAGAUUCUUUACCUGUGUGAUGAAUACAUUCACACUGACACUUAGUGUUAUUUAGUUUCCUUGAGAAGCAGGGAUGCAAGGAGGGAGUGAUGUUCUCCACAGGGAUGCUGAAUGAUAAUGAGUGAUAAUUAAAAUGUUGUACAAUGUUUGUUUACAUAGAGGGUCAAAAUAAAAGGGCUAUUACUUGGAUUGUUUAUACUAUUGGAUAAGUAUAAAAGGAGGGAUUGUUAAGUUGUAAUAGUUUAUUUUGAUAACAUCUGCAGAGGUCUUAUGUUUUAAAUUAAUACAUAUAGAAAGAUAUUAUAAGAGAAAAUAUUAAGGAGAAUAUUGUUAUUAAUGUAUUAUGACGCAUAGGGGUAAUGUUUACUCUAUGCAAAUGUAAAUGGCAAGAAUUAAUGUAUAUUGCAUGAGAGUGACUGUAUGUUAGUAUUAUAGAUUGAAGAAGCCGGUUGAAAUCCGUGAAGUGACUUUUAUUGUGAAGGUGACUUUAACAAGACAGGAUUCUUAUUGUGAAAGCGUUGGAACCGGAAGUGACGUUUCGAGCCGGCGCAAGAGGAUUAUGAAACAGCGUGUUUUUAGAGAGCUCGUUCUCUUUUCUUAGGUAAGCCCCGAAGGGAAGGUUGUGCUCUCGGGAGGUGCCGAGAGCCUGCAGCCUUGACACGAGGAGAGAGCGCGUUGAAUGUUUGAUUCACUUUUCUUGCCAUUAAAUGUUGAUAACUUAA